GAAAUGCGAUAAGUAAUGUGAAUUGCAGAAUUCAGUGAAUCAUCGAAUCUUUGAACGCACAUUGCGCCCCUUGGUAUUCCGGGGGGCAUGCCUGUUCGAGCGUCAUUAUAACCCUCAAGCCUAGCUUGGUGUUGGAGCAUGUCUACGGGCAGCUCUUAAAAUCAGUGGCAGUGCCUUUCGGCUCUAAGCGUAGUAAUUUUUCUCGCUACAGAGUUCGGAGGUGUACGCGCCAGAACCCCCAAUUUUCUAUGGUUGACCUCGGAUCAGGUAGGGAUACCCGCUGAACUUAA
Molecule: unclassified non-coding RNA, 290 nt
Filed under: uncultured Helotiales
Lineage: Eukaryota; Fungi; Ascomycota; Leotiomycetes; Helotiales
Description: sequence contains ITS1
Rfam family: 5.8S ribosomal RNA (bases 1-105)
Source: RNAcentral